UACGUAGGGUGCGAGCGUUGUCCGGAAUUAUUGGGCGUAAAGGGCUCGUAGGCGGUUUGUCGCGUCGGGAGUGAAAACGCCGUGCUUAACACGGCGCUUGCUUUCGAUACGGGCAGACUAGAGGUAUGCAGGGGAGAACGGAAUUCCUGGUGUAGCGGUGAAAUGCGCAGAUAUCAGGAGGAACACCGGUGGCGACGGCGGUUCUCUGGGCAUUACCUGACGCUGAGGAGCGAAAGCGUGGGGAGCGAACAGG
RNAcentral lists this ribosomal RNA (253 nucleotides) under uncultured bacterium. RNAcentral's name for it is "partial 16S ribosomal RNA". It matches the Rfam family "Bacterial small subunit ribosomal RNA", at positions 524 to 776 of the family's 1533-position model. The record is from RNAcentral.